UUGGAAUGAGUUUAUCACUACACUGUAAAUGCUAACAUUCAAAUUAAUUAAAUUUGAUAAGUGAACUAAACUCAGUUUUCAUCAACCUGUUGUGAACACUACUUUUAAAUAAGUAAGUAGUAAUUUGGGGUUGGAGAACUUGCUUAACUUGAUAUAUCCCAGUUAAGUCAAAUUAGAAAAAAUAAUUUAUUGUACCCAGUGUCCUUUGCGCGUUCUAUCAGACAUGCGCAGAUCUCCCCUGCCUACUUUCGCGCUCUUUCCAACACCUUUCUCAUUUAUUUUCGCCAUUGUGGGUUUAUUUGUCCUCAGCACACUGAUUUGGCUGAAGCAAAUGGUCAGAAGUCCACACAUACCUCAGUCUCUGCAAUUACAGGUCAACCAGAGCAGUAUUCUCUAAUGCAGUGGACUUGUAAGUACUGCACAUUUUCUGCUGGAAAGAGAGGCUACUUGCUUAAGCAUUACCGCUUAAAACAUGGAUACCACACUCGGACAUCCCUACUCCCCAUGUCUUCAUAAGGACUGCCUCUGCACAUUUAAAUCUUUUAAUGCACUCAAAGUACACCUAUCGACAUGCCACUCUCAAAAAGAUGCAGACAAAAGUGGAGAAACUGCAUUUGACUGUCAGUUGUGCAACUUUGUGGAGCCUUGUUAAGAAGCAGACUUCUUUACCCAUUUGCGAAGACAUCUUAAGCUGAGGCAAAUGGUUACUUGCAUAUAUCAAGACUGUAACUUUCAGAGCACUGUUUAUUCUACCUUCACUGCACACAAAAGCAGAAAUGUGAAAUGAGUUUGAACCAUAGUAUGGGUAGGACAUUUGUGUCUAAAUCAUUCAAUCCCAAUAAAAGUUGCUUCAAUCAAAAAAAAUAUUUUUAAUGAAAGAAAAAGAACCUCUUGCUAAAAUGUUUUUUUGAAAAUAUAUAUUUUUUGAAAUAUAUAUAUUUUUUUAUUGACG
Long non-coding RNA from Corythoichthys intestinalis (scribbled pipefish), 952 nucleotides. RefSeq lists it as uncharacterized. The record is from RefSeq and is a predicted model, not a curated record. Lineage: Eukaryota; Metazoa; Chordata; Actinopteri; Syngnathiformes; Syngnathidae. The transcript has 3 exons.